CCUACGGGAGGCAGCAGUGGGGAAUAUUGGGCAAUGGGCGAAAGCCUGACCCAGCAACGCCGCGUGAAGGAAGAAGGCUUUCGGGUUGUAAACUUCUUUUGACAGGGAAGAGCAGAAGACGGUACCUGUCGAAUAAGACACGGCUAACUACGUGCCAGCAGCCGCGGUAAUACGUAGGUGGCAAGCGUGGUCCGGAUUUACUGGGGGUAAAGGGCGUGUAGCCGGGCUGACAAGUCAGAUGUGAAAUCCGGGGGCUCAACCCCCGAACUGCAUUUGAAACUGUUGGUCUUGAGUAUCGGAGAGGCAGGCGGAAUUCCUAGUGUAGCGGUGAAAUGCGUAGAUAUUAGGAGGAACACCAGUGGCGAAGGCGGCCUGCUGGACGACAACUGACGGUGAGGCGCGAAAGCGUGGGGAGCAAACAGGAUUAGAUACCCGUGUAGUC
This 442-nucleotide ribosomal RNA is filed under the name uncultured bacterium. Its description in RNAcentral is "partial 16S ribosomal RNA". It matches the Rfam family "Bacterial small subunit ribosomal RNA", at positions 338 to 795 of the family's 1533-position model. The record is from RNAcentral.